This is a non-coding RNA of Photobacterium profundum SS9, 155 nucleotides long. Lineage: Bacteria; Pseudomonadati; Pseudomonadota; Gammaproteobacteria; Vibrionales; Vibrionaceae. The record is from Rfam.
UUUUCCGCGUGGAAUGGCCAGAAGGAAGCCGCUAGCAAAACUGUGAGCUGAUGAACAAGAACAUCAUAUUAUCCGAUUAGCUUUUUAGCAUUCAAAUCACCUUAAAACGAAAAAGUAAAAUAAUCGAAAAUGAAGCAACAAAAAAAGCACCUGCA